Molecule: long non-coding RNA, 1075 nt
Organism: Dioscorea cayenensis subsp. rotundata (Guinea yam)
Lineage: Eukaryota; Viridiplantae; Streptophyta; Magnoliopsida; Dioscoreales; Dioscoreaceae
Exons: 3
Source: RefSeq, a predicted model, not a curated record
UCAUGCGCGGCACGACACGGUCUGGUGCGCCGCCCCAAGAUCUAGGAGAUCUAUAUGCCCGCGCUGAGCUCCAUGAUGAUUCAGGCUAAGAUCGAGUGUCCCGGGGGAAAGCCUGGCUGUCGUCAAGUCCAAAGUCGGCAUUGAGAUUUGAGAGCUUCUAUGAUAACAUUCUCCCUGCCAUUGAGAACGCCAUUCGGCCCUCCUAUAGAUCUGUUCGCUGAGUCCGAGGACGAGGCCCCAAUCUCCAAGGCUCCCGCUACAGCCCCUCCUCCACCACCAUAACCUCCUUCUCCUUCAAAUCUCUGGCUACGGUCACAUCUCCUUCAAAGACCGUGGCAAUUCCGAAUCCCCCCAAGAAGCUCACGAACCAGUACAAGUUGGACACUGGGGCCAUUGUUGGGAAGUGACCCUUUGGAGGGAUUGCUCCUUCGGAUGUGGAGGUAGCUUCUAGCAUCCAACCCUACAUGACUAUGAUUCUGUGCAGAAGAACAUGGUCGAGAGGCUCUUGCUUGAUGUACUCUAUGAAAAGAUUAAGUCACUAGUGUGACUAUGACUGGCCUGGUGGCAAAGGCUGCAGCAAUGGCGCUUGUACAGCAUCCCGUAGUGCAAGAAAACUGCAAGGAUGGUAAGAGCUUCACAUACAGCAGCAUCAUUAAAAUUGCAGUGGCUGUGGCAAUUGAUGGUCUCCUCGUAACCUGGUUCUUCUGGAUGCAGCGCAAACAUUGUAGAUGGAAUAUUUGUGAUUCUGAAUUAAGAAGUUCUCAACGAUGAUCAGAGUCACAGCACCGGAUAACUAAAGAGGCAGACUUGGCAGCCUUAACUUCAGACACUUUCGGAGAUCUUUGUAAUUUUUGACAUUUUAAUGGCUGAUCUAAUCCAUUAUGAUCAGCUACUUUUUUCAAUUGAUUGUUGCCAAAAGCUUCUUUAUUAGGAUUUGUGUUCAGAGCUCUUCAUGUGCCAUGUUUUUAUUAGAUCCAAACAAAUGGUUACUCUUUGUUUUGCCGAUCAAUAACGAGUUCAGAAAAUAUUAAAGCAGGCCACAUUAUAAAUAACAAUGCUCGUGGUAUAGUUUGUA